GAUGAACGCUGGCGGCGUGCCUAAUACAUGCAAGUCGAGCGAACAGACGAGGAGCUUGCUCCUCUGACGUUAGCGGCGGACGGGUGAGUAACACGUGGAUAACCUACCUAUAAGACUGGGAUAACUUCGGGAAACCGGAGCUAAUCCCGGAUAAUAUAUUGAAGCGCAUGGUUCAAUAGUGAAAGACGGUUUUGCUGUCACUUAUAGAUGGAUCCGCGCCGCAUUAGCUAGUUGGUAAGGUAACGGCUUACCAAGGCAACGAUGCGUAGCCGACCUGAGAGGGUGAUCGGCCACAUUGGAACUGAGACACGGUCCAGACGCCUACGGGAGGCAGCAGUAGGGAAUCGUCCGCAAUGGGCGGAAGCCUGACGGAGUAACGCCGCGUGAGUGAUGAAGGUCUUCGGAUCGUAAAACCCUGUUAUUAGGUAAGAACAAAUGUGUAAGUAACUAUGCACGUCUUGACGGUACCGAAUCAGAAAGCCACGGCUAACUACGUG
RNAcentral lists this ribosomal RNA (497 nucleotides) under uncultured bacterium. RNAcentral's name for it is "partial 16S ribosomal RNA". It matches the Rfam family "Bacterial small subunit ribosomal RNA", at positions 28 to 507 of the family's 1533-position model. The record is from RNAcentral.